This 345-nucleotide long non-coding RNA is filed under the name Phaseolus vulgaris (common bean). RNAcentral's name for it is "long non-coding RNA (PVUL_LNC000809)". Lineage: Eukaryota; Viridiplantae; Streptophyta; Magnoliopsida; Fabales; Fabaceae. The record is from RNAcentral.
AACUAAAAUCAACAGCACGGCUCAAUUUUGUUAGGAAACCUGCAGUAUUAAUCAUGGAAUUUGUUGGUUUUGUUGCCUUGGUUGGGCUAGGGAUUUGAAGAUUAUACUAAUAGUAGGCUCGGUGAUUAUACUAAUAGUAGGCUCGGUGGUCCAUUGAGGAAGGGUAACGGAGUGGCUAGUGACACAAAGUUCAUGGCAGCCACUAACUUAUUAUGCUGCAUAAGCUGAAAAUUAUGCAGAUCUGGUGCACUUUUGGUUCAGCAGAUUGGUUUUUUGGUGUUAAAGCUUGCCUUUUAUUAUGAAACAACUUGCUGUAAUUUGCUUUCUGUGAGACUAAGUUUUAGU